CCGAAUACCUGACAAAAUCCGCUUGGACCAAAAAGGCAGAACAAACCUAAUUAGCCCGGUCGACCCACUCACAAGGUGUGGGUUGCUAAGGCUCCCCACAGCUCCAAGAGCAAGCCUCUCCCUGCCUGUCCCUUUCAGGUCUGUGAAAGAAUCAAGUGGCCACAAUGGGCACGGACUCCAUUAAAAGGAGGGGGCUGGCCAAUGAAUAAACAUGCAGGUUACCGUGUUGAUAUUUCACUGAAUGCCAUUCUGAAGUGGGGUGUUUGGGGCCUUGGAGGCCUGCGCCCCUGGUAUUGUGCUGGGGGAGGGACUGGCCAUUUGAAGUCAAGGUGAGGACAUACUGGGGGCAGAUGGAACCUGCUUUGUUUGUGAAAGAGUUUUUCUGCUAUUUAUGCUAAUGAGUGGGAAACACUUCCCAAGCAUUUCAGAUGGUUCUGUAAUGAGGCCCGGCAGAAUGUGCCAACAUUGUUGGCCCUGGACAAUUUUAAACUCCCACUCCGCACAUUAGCAGCCCCUUUCUUUACAGGAAGGCCCUCAGAGGGUGAAAGAGGACAAUGAAGGAAGAGUGAAAACAUCACAAAGAGGGGCUUUUGUUUCGCCUUCCUUUGAACCCUCUGAAAAGCCCGCUCUCAAGGGGUGUGUUGGGCCUGCCUUUCAAGGUUACUGAACCCAGAAUCCCCUGUUGUUUAGCAACAUAGAAAGCUGACCUUAAUUGACUCCACUUCUGAGCAGGCUUUGUAAAUCACUCUGCCCCAGACUGAAAUUUCCUGACGGCGUCUGCAUGAGCUAUGGAGUGUCCCUACAUAGGCUUCCAACAUGCCAGGGCAACGUGUCGGCCGUCGUGUGGACAGUGAUGUAUAGCUUACCCUCCCUUCUCCCUGGAAUUCUCGUGAGGACCUGCCUCGGGAUUAGGAGACGUUCUUCCCAUUUUGCAGGAAGUGUCAACGCAAUGGAGGAAAGGAAAGGCAACAUCUAUAACCUGGGAAUCCAGAACAGGAGAGGCGUUUUCCAAUCAGCCUGGCACCGAGGCUCCGGUGGAGCUGGUAGCGCUGCACACUCAGAAUGAGACUGGACUUGCCCGGAGAGUCGGGGACCGUGCUGGGCUUGUAAGACGUGGAGUUAUCAUUCAUCUAUUCAUCCCCAGUGGGUGAAAAAGGGAAGUAGACCCUGCUGGACUCAAGAUGCUUAUCGAUUCAUCCCUUUAGCAGGCAAGCAGGAAGACGCGUGAGCCCCUCGGGCUUGGGGCUUUGGCUCCUGGAGAAGUUCUGCCCGGUUCCCACAGGGGCUCGGGAGCCAGAGGAGCUGGGAGGGGCGGCAGGACCCCGGCGGCUUUUAUUUUGCGCCAUAAAGGCCUUCACAAUGUCUGCUGGAAUUUCAACAGUUAAAGAGACCCCCGGUACAAAGAGGCGCUGCGACAGUAAUCGGGAAAUAAAUUUGAUUUUCUGAAUUCUUUGGCAGCUGGUGACAAAGGGCCAGGUAUGGCGCCGCGGCAGGGGUGAUCCCUGCAGAAGGCGGCUGCGCAGUGGGGCGUGCGGCCCCCGAGGCACAAAGGCGACCGCGCCGGGAGUGCGCCACAAAGGAGCUGGGGCUCUGCGAUGGCCAGGGCCGAUGCGGGGCGGGAGUCGCCCACUGCUGCUCCGCCACGCUACCGCGCUGCGCCAAGGCCAGAGGCGGAGAAUCAAGGGCGCAGUGCUCGGUCUUCGACCUGGGACUUCAGGGGCCUCCACUGGGGCCACGAGCAGCAGGAGACUUUUAUAGCUUAAAUCAAUUCAAGAAAUGUCAAUUAACCCCUUGCCUAAUUCAGCCUUUUGCUGGGGUUUUUCAAGGGUCAUUGGGGAAUUCCCUUCUCUGUGAGGGGCCCCAAUUUCCCCCAGGUUCACCAAACCGAGGAGGCCCCCUUCCUUUAUUUAUGGGAUUAUAUUUUGUCGUUUCAAAUGUCUUUCCUAUUUGUGUGUCUGUAAAUGGCUUUCAGGGCCGUGGUGGAUCUUGUUCCUCCUUAAGAGACAAACCAGAAGUGCUAGGGAGAAACCCUAGGAAAUGGUGCUGCUAGGCCUCUCAGGCAAGAAUGAGGACUUCAUUCACGCAUGCAUGCAUGCAUGCAAACACUAAGCGUCCCCUUUCCCUCCAGCCCUUCACUGAUCUUUGACUAUUCUGAUCUCCUCCAGUUACUUCAUGCUUCUAAGUCUGCUGCGUCUCAGCGCCUCUCCAGUGCUAUUGGAAUAGAACCUCCAGCUCCCCCACCAGCCUGGAAGCCCCAGGGAGGGAGCAGCAUUCACUUUUUCAGCCACACACCCCAGCCCCCUCACUUAUGGAGAUGCAUGCCCAUGUCGAAUUUUCUCAGCACCCCUCUCCGAUGUUCCAGCAGCCAUCACUCCAGAAGCACAUCAAACUUGGGUUCCCUUCCUUUUCUGUUCAAAGUGAGGCAGUCCACAAUUAUUUGUAGGGGAUGUCAAGAGUCCAGAAAAGCAGACUUGGAUAGAACAAGAUGUGUUAGCAUGCAGCUUGCUAAUGCUUGAGCCCUCUGUGGUGGAAGCAAAUAUGUCCAGAUCAGCAGUAGAAGAACGUGGAUUGAUUCACGCUGAAUUUUGGGCUCGCUGACCUAGACAUUCACUGAAUGUGGACUAUCAGGAUUGUCCCUUUGCACCUGUUGCUCCUUGUCCUUGGAGUAGCUUCCAGCUCCUCUUCCUGACACACUUCUUCCUGCUGCCUGUUAGGGUCCAGCUGGACUGUCCCCCGCUCUGUGAAGCUGGCUGCAGUUCCUGCUUCCCACCCUUUCCUCACCAUGCACAGAGGCAGUCCCUCUCUGGACUCCCGCUGCUCCUCCUUGCAGCCUUAUCUGCGGUCACUGUGUUUUCCUAGGAGGCUGACAGAUGUGAGAGUGAGGAUUUUGUCUCACUCAUCUUCAUAGGCUUUUCAGGACUCAGCUUAUACUGGCUCACAUCCAUGGGUGGGUGGAUUGUAAAUCUCUUGAAGGAACAUCUCUUUGAUUGGCUGGUUUGACUUCUUUUUAACAAAUAGCUUACUAGCUUUCCUCCUAGCCUUUCCUGGCUAGAUGCAGCCAGAUAUCUAACAGCAUUGAAAUGAUACGGAAACAAAAACUGUGUCCCGGGCAUACAUUGGCUGUAAUGCAAUUCAACAUUGUACACUGCCAUGGUGCUGUGAUACACAGAAGAAAGAGAUUGGGCCUCUGUCCCUGAAGGCUUUUUUUUUUUUUUUUUUAUACUGGAGAUUGAACCUAGGGGCACUUAACUACUGAGCUGCAUCCUCUCCCAUUUAUUUAUUUAUUUAUUUUUGUAUUUUAUUUAGAGACAGGGUCUCACUGAGUUGCUUACAGCCUUGCUCAAUUGCUAAGGCUGGCUUUGAACUCACGAUCCUCCAGCUGCAGAAGGAUCCAAAGCUGCUGGGCAUGGGCCACUGGUGUGGGCCACCAUGCCUGCCUGGUAUCCCUGAGGUUCUUGAAUGAGGGACAGGGUUGGGAGCUUAGAGAAGCACACAAAUUGUUGAAAUGUGGGAGGAAAUUAAAGUGUCAUAAAGAAGACAGUGUGCCAUGGGGGUCCUAGGGGAAAGCAGGAAGCCAUAGAGAGGGUCAGGGAAGGCCGCCUGGAGUGGGUGGCACAUGAGAUGAGACUUGAGGGACGAUCUGCAGGAAGGGAUCUGGAUGGAGCUGCAGGGCCAGGUAAGAGCAGAGUGAAGAGUCUGGAAGGUGGGUGGGGCCAGUACAUGGAGGCCAAGGGCUAUGUGCCAAAGAGUUUGUGGUCAGUCUGGUGAGCAGGGCCGGGGCUAUUUUAAGUUAGCCAGAGGACCUGCUGUCCAGAUGCGUGGAGCACUAGAGGUGGGCCUGAGGCUCCAGCUGCUGGUCUGAUGCUGGUUAAACCAGCUCCCGACCCCUCCCUCCUUGCUAUCUUUACUGUUGCUUUGUAAGAUUUCUGCUCCUCCCGCACUUGCAUUUCCUGUGCUCCUCCCCGUUACCCUUUAAUUUUGAUUUGCGAAUUCUGUGGGGAUUUCUUCUUACCCUUCAUAUAUGUGAAGGGAUCAGCUCGUCUUUCUGCUACCCCUGCAGCUGGCCCCACCUGGUUCCCUUCGCUCCCUGUCCCAGCCCUGUGACCCUUCUUGGAACUCUCCCUGCCUGCUCCUCUGCACUUCCAGGAACACUCAGCCCCAACUUUAAAACAUCACUCAAAUGCUCCUUUUGGCCUCUCUCAGCCUAGGUAAACAUUAAAAUUCCAUUGUCUAUAAAGCAAAUAGAAAUUCACUCAUGAGAAUCCAUAUAAGGGGCUUUUAAAUGAAGUAGUGCUCAAGAGUUCAGCCUGGAAGGUAUUCAAGGCAAGGGGCUCAGGUCUACCAUCCCCAGCCCAGAUAACUCGCCACCUCUGCGUGAAUGCGCCCAGCUCUGGAAGGUGGGCAGAUGGCCUGGCAAUGUGUGAGCAGCUUCACCUCCUUCCUUCCUCCCUGUUGCAAGCAGCCAAACCUGCUGGAGAAGCCUAGGCCACACAACAGGAGUUGGGUUCACUCACUGUCUGUGCCUGGUGGCUUCUGCUCAUUCAUGUCUUCCAUUCCCUGUGGCAAAAGGAGGUUGUGUGGAAAUCCAGACAUGCUCUGAAGGGGGUGUCUUGAUUUUUUUUAUUUUUUUUUAUUUUUGGAUCCCUUGGCAUGGUUACCUGCACACGGGAGUUAUUCAAUACGUGUUAGCUGGGUCACUCCCUUCCAGUCCACUAAACUCCAUGUACUUGAAAUCCUUUCCAUAGACUCUCCUGGAUAUCUUGCUCUACAAGAGCAGUCCCAGGCACCCCAGCGCCUUCUGCCUGGCUCUGUAGGUCUUGUUGCCGGGCAUUGUCUUUAUGUGCUCAGCUCUGUUCAGACUUCUUCCUACUCACCAUGCCCUGCUAAAGCUACAGAGCCACCAACUUGACUCUCAAAAUGGAGACCUUGAGUUCAAACUACCCAAGUAAACACAAACUCCAAAAUGAUGUACAAAUAUAGGCAAAACAUCAAGAAAUGAUGGAUUUUCUAUGAAGGAUCAUAUGAGAUAGCAAUAGUGAGAGGAAUGGUGGGCUAAGGAACCACUUUUAAGUAUUCAGACAAAGCAAAUGAAAAUGAAUUGGUUAUAGUAAUAUUAAGAGAAUAGGCAUCUUUCUUAAAAAGCAUUGAUGAGGUCUGUCUUGUAGAUUUCUAGUCAGAAAACGUAUUUUGGUUGUAUGAUUUCUAUUCUAUCUUCUUCCAGAAAUGGUUUGAGAGAUAUAGAACAAGUCAACAGGAAAAGAGAAAUAAUUCAUUACAUAUUAGCCCAAGCUUUAAAACUGUGUAACCUCUUCUCCUCUGCCUCCCGUGUGUGAGAUGAAGGGGUUAGAACAGGACAUCUGUAAAGUUCCUGUUGGCACCAACAGGCUGUGGUUGAUGGAGAGCAGCAUGAUUUCUUAUAGGAGUGAGUUUACUUUCUGUGUGUGUGUGUGUGUGUGUGUUUUAAUGGAGCAGGGUACUCAUUCAUUACUGGCCAUUCUUUAAGUAUAUUUUUCUCUGAUUAGACUGUGAGCCCUCCAGGGUCAGGACUGCCAUCUUCACAGUAACUGGCACAUAACAGAUGCUCAGCAAAUAUCAUCUAAUGAAUGGACAGGGAAGGCAGGUGAUUUCAAAGAAUGAAAUAGAAUUCUCCUAUUCUUGGAAGGAAAUUUCCUGGGAGAAAAAGAUUUUAAACCUGUCUGAACACUUUCUUCUGGGGUCUUUUCCCCUGUCAUCUAAAGUUGGUGUAAGCCUCAAAGCACAGCAGGUCACCCCUGUGCUGGAUAUUUUCAGUUUUUAUUAGCUUUCUGACUUCUUUUAGAUUCAGCUGAUGUCUUCCUGGUUAUCUUGAUCUCUGACAACAACAUAAUAAAAUAAGCAGCUUUGCUGCUUGAUGGGGAGGAGCUGUCCAUGUCCACCUGGGUUGUUGUGGUUCAGGGGUUCUCACUCCUUCUGAGCCACAGAGAUGUCAAGACAUUUCUUCAGUAGAAAACUCAGUCAUCCAUCCUGAUGUUUUGUCUUUAGGAGUAAAUAUCUUGUAAGAUUAUACAUCAAGAUUCUUAUUGUGGAGUCUAUUGAUUUUAUAGGGUCCAAAAAUAUUCUGAAAAGUGGACACAAUAUGUCGAGACUAAUCCCCCUCUGAGACUGAGGGAUUUUCUUCCCAUUAGAAGAAAUGUCACAGUCUUAGUUUGGUUAGUUUUUUUUUUUUUUUUCUUCCUUGGUAGGAGGUAAGUAGCCUUACACCACCUUUGAAUUCAUUUUCCCUUUUGGAAAAAAAAAUUCAUAGGAUCACACAAAUGGAAACCACUGUUGAAGCUUUUUUCUUUCUUUUCUUUUCUUUUUUUUUUUUUUUUUUUGCAUUUAGCAUGAUGUUUCAUGCACGAAUCCCAUAGUAUCUUCUCCUUCGGGCCUGGAAAGGGUCCUAGACAAUGUGGUUUCCAAGGUUUGCUGACUCCUGGAGUCCUAGCCAAGGGAGGUCAAGUCCUGAACAGAUUCAGUGGGCAGAACCCACUCUGUAAACCCAAGUCAAGAGCCUGGAAAAAGGCUGGACAAGUGUUAUGCCUUGCUUGGCUGAGCAGAUAGAAUGAGGAGAAAAAAAUAAACAAAGAGAAGAUGAUGACUAAAUUCAAAGAGUGAAAUUCAGAGGUAGACAAAUACAAAGAGGGGUAAUAUCGUCACAGGUCUGAAGUUAAGAAAGGGAGACCUGAGUAGAAGAGGACCUGUGCAAGUGGGCCCAGUCUUUUGUUUAUAUAGUGGGAAACCGAGGCUAGGAAAAGGGCCAGGAUGGCUCCAUGUCACACAGUAAGUUAGAGACACAGCGGGGGUGGGAACCGGGUCUCCUGACUCCAGGGCUGCUCACGGGACACCAUAAGGUCAGCCCAAACUUGUUCCUCUAAGAUCGCGUAUGUUUAGUGCAGUCAGAGGGUCAGAGAAGAAAAAGAAAGUUGGUUAGUUAUGGUUUGCCCACUGCACUGGGCCCCGGGCGAGGCCUUCUCCCUGUAAGCACUCUUUCUCUGAAGAGUGGUUAUGAAGGUUUGUUAGUUCCAUUGGCCUCCCAAUUCUUCUGGAAGCUUCAGCAAAGAGAAAGGGAAAAAAAGGAAAAAAAAAAAAAAAAAACCAAGUAAAUCUUCAGUUUUGGAUCAUGAGAGGAACCCAGAAGAGGCCUCACUUGAAGGCUCACUAGGCUUUCCUCAGAGAAUAAGAUCUUCCCCAAAUCUGUAGUUUCUUUGAAGCUUUUUCUUUCAAUUUUUUUUUCAGUCUUUAAAUAGGAAGCAACUCAAAUAUUUCUUUGUUAGCAUAUGCUUCUUCAUUUGAUUGGCUGGCAGACAGUAUCAUGAAAAUCUGACUGAUAUCAUCCCCUUCCUCCUUCCCUGCUCUCCUUCCCCCUGGCUGAGUCCAGGACUUCCUUUCACUCCAGGCCCUUCCUCUCCAAGUCCAAACCACGGCCUGGGGGUGCCUAGCCUAUGAUAUUCCUGCUUCCAGGAAGGCUGUGGCAUCCGAAUACAGAGAGCCAAAGGAUCUACUCCUAUGCCUAGUCGAGUCGCAGGGGGAUGGGGCUGGAAGAGUCACCAAGGUCGGCUUUUGAAGGUCUUAAAUUGCCAAAUGCAAGAGUUUUCUCUUGAUGCUCUAGGCCAUGGGUGGCCAGAGAAGUCUUUAAAGGAGAAACAUCAUGAUCAGGUUGAGUGUUUAGACAAGACUGUGGAGGAGCUGUGUGCAAUUGGAGCGGCAGAGAGACGGCUGCCCAGGCUCAGGAUGCUCUGCAGGAGAGGUCCUGAUGGCUUGACCUUGGGUCGCGCCACAGUGACGACAAAAAGGAGAUGGAUUCAGUACAUAUAAAAGAGAGAUUCAAAAGGAUCUGGCUGUGAUGAGCACGGAGAGGGUGGAGGGGAUUAUUUGGUUAGGGAGGAGGAAGUGGGCAGGGGAAGUCCAGGAAUAUCAGGUUUCUGGCCUGGGAGCUAGAAUAUAUCCAAUUAAGUAAGGAGGCAGAGAUAUGGCAGGAUGGGAGCUAUGAAGGAGAAGGAAUGGUGCGUUCCUCUUGGGGCAUUCUGAAUUAAGGAGCUCUUGGGACAUGCAGAUAGAUAUGGGAUAGACAGGUCUGGGAUCAGGAAGGCACCACAGCUAAGCAUCCGGACCGGCUAGCCAGAUGGUGAUGAAGCCAGGUGCAGAGGACUCUGAUGGGUUUAUGCCUAGAUCUAUGUCCACUACCCUAAUCAGAGUCUCUGUGUCCUCUACACUGUCACCCCAUUGAUCCUUCUGAAGCACUCAGCUCAGACUGAAUGAACUACCAGUGUGCACAACCUUCAGUGGGUUUUUAAUGCUCAAUGAAAGACUUUUUCCAAGGUCUUUCAUGCCCUGGCCUCUCUCUGCUCUUCUAGAAUUGUUUUUAUCUCCAUACAAACACCCCAUGCACCUUACAAACUAAACUAUAUCUUUUCUUGAAUAUACUCAUUCUUUUCUGUUUGCUCAGGAUGUUUCUUUCACCUUUUCCUCUUGAAAGCCUAUCCUGUCCACAGAGAAUCAGAUGAAAUUUUCCUUGGCCACCCGCCCCCCCCCUAUAGUGAUCUUUUGGGUCCUGAUGCCUCCUGAUUUGAAUUGUGACACCCCUCCAUGUACCAUGGCCACAUGGUUGUGAUCCUCUUCAGCUCCCAAAAACAAUAGGGCUAAGUUCCGUACCACUUGCCUCAAGGAAGGGACGUAAGGAAAUAUAGAACUAGGAGAACGAUUAUUAAGACAGACCUUGGCUUUUGAGUUUUAAAAGUCAAGGAUAUGAAGUUCUAAGGACUUGGACUUUUGAGUUUACAUUUUAUGUAAUAAAUUAUAGAUUAUUUGGAAACAGAUGUGAAGCCAGACUUCCUAACUGCCAGAUUAGAAGCAGAUUCUCCAGAUUGAGUAAAAGGAGAAUUGGAGGGCUCAGUCUCCAGGAAUCCUACAGGCCGGGGUCUGGUGGGCACUGACUGCCACUGCAGCUACUCAGUCUCUAUCCCAGGAAGUCUUUCUCCCACCACCGCAUGAGCUGACCUUGCAGUUGGAACAUCAAUAGGGACCCUCCAUCAAGGUAACUCCUGUCAGGUCCGGAAGACAUUGUCUAGUCUCUUUCUGGGUUGCUCAGAUGGACAACUCCCUUUCCCAUUGUCUAGGACCCUACUGUGAAUUCUACUCAUACGUCCUAAGAUAAAGGGUGGGAUCCCAGACGUCCAGUGGUCUGCUAGUGAUAUAACUCCUGCCCCACACCAUGUUUGUACUUCUAGGAUAGCUCAGAAUCCCCUCUGGCAGAAAUAUACUCUGUCCUUGACUUUUCUACUACCUUUAGAUUAUGAUCUUUCUCAUACUAUGGAUACUUGUUAGGUUGGGUAUCUUUGGGGGCCUCUCCAUUCUUCCCCACUUUCCUCUCUUCUCCAGAGGCUGGUCAACCAGGACUCAGGCCUUUGGAUUUCCUGUUGACUCAGACAUCAGGGAGCCCUGGUAGGGAGGGGGAGAGGGCAGUCAGGGCAACAAUUCCUCUGGCUGCUCCUUGUCAGGUAGCUGCUCUCAAUGGGAUCCUCCCUGACCUCCUGUCUCCUUUGGAGUUCCUGUCACCUUAGUCUUAUCUUGCUCCUUCUGAACAAGGUGGUGAAAGUUCUGUUACCAGCAGCCUCAGACACCACACUUAUCUCUUGUUUUCCUCUACCCUUGUCUGUAUCUUCAUAGCCAGUGCCUUGGUUAAAUCCUCCUUGAAUUAUUCCAAUUCAGAUGGGACAUCUGUUUUCUAACGGAAUUCUAUUGCAGAUUCCAUUUUCCAAAAAUGGAAUGAUAUGAUAAUAUCUGCCCUUCCACAGCUCUUCUUACAAUGUGACUUUGACAAUUCACCCUCAAGAGGAAAUGACACUGUGACUUCUGACUAGUCAUAAAAGAUGAUACUGCUUCUGCCUCAUUCUUUGGGAACACUUGCCUUUGGAGCCUGGGCCUGUCAUGUAAACAGUCUGACUUCCUGGCGACUGCUGUGCUAUGAGGAAGCUGAAGCCAGACCCUGAGUGUGACCAGUGGAGAAGCCCUGUGGCUAACUGAAGAGACAGAUUCAUGACCAACGCCCAGUGGCUUCAGCACCCCCUGACUGCAACUACCAGAGAGACCAGGGCCAGAAUUGCCCAGCGGAGCUCUUCCUGAAUUCCUGUCUCACAGGCACCAUGAAAGAACUCGAAUAAUCACUGUUGUACGUGGCUCUCUGCGAAGUGAUUUACUAUACAGCGACAGAUAACUGCGACUGACGGAUAUGCUUCAGAGACAUCUGCAGAUGUGCGUCUGCAGGGGCAAACAAAAGGUGUCCAUUCUGGGUGGCAAGCUUCCUGUGAUGAAGGGAUUGGGCCUUAUUGUAUUCCCCAGAGUGGCCAUCACACAGUGGUCCAUUCAUGAGUAUUUGUGAAUGGCCCAAAAGAUGUGCCAGUGAGAGUUUUGGUCUUCAAGGAAGAUUUGGGCAUUCUGAUCAUGUGAUAAAUAAGAAAAUGGAGGUCAUUGCAUUGCUGAUCCCCUGAAGGACAGACUGUGGGUUCUGUUUCCACUUACAAGUGUGUUUCUUUGAGCCCUGAUGAUGAAAAUCUGAUAUCUUUCUGAUUUAAGAUAUUCUUUUGAACUGAUAUUUUCAUUAAGAAGCUGAAUACUAAUUGUAUUAAAAAGAGAUAAUGGACUUUCCCAAAGACUCAUCCAAACCUCCACACUAAGAGUGGCUUCCCUGUUUUCUCUCUCACGUGUGUGUGUGUGUGUGUGUGUGUGUGUGUAUGGUGUGUGGUCAGUUCAAGGCCAGAAAAAGAACUGCCCCAAACUGGGAAAUGGAGUUCAGUGUGGGGAAAGAGGCCACCGCUUGGGUAACAUUCCUGCUUGGGUUUGGAAACUGGGUGUGCCAGAAAUUUCCUGGAAAGUUUAUUUUUGCUGAGUUUUAAGCCUGACUUCAGACCAUUAGAGCUCUUGGAUAAUGCCAGUUUGUUCAAACAUGCAAAGAGCCAGCUGUCCCUAGAAAUGAGAUUAUCUCUUGCCAGCUGAGAGUUUGUGGUCUGGCUCGUCUACGUGCUUGAACACUAAACUUUUAAAGUAAAUUUUAAGUAAAGGUCAGGGAGAUGUUGUGUUGCCCAGAGGCAGGGCUGAUAUGAGUCCAUCUAAAUCAGUGCCUUUCCCAGGGGACCUUAUGCACAUGCAGAUUCUGACUCAGGGAGUCUGGAAGAAGAC
Molecule: long non-coding RNA, 11193 nt
Organism: Marmota monax (woodchuck)
Lineage: Eukaryota; Metazoa; Chordata; Mammalia; Rodentia; Sciuridae
Exons: 3
Source: RefSeq, a predicted model, not a curated record